CCUACGGGGGGCAGCAGUGGGGAAUUUUGGACAAUGGGGGCAACCCUGAUCCAGCCAUGCCGCGUGAGUGAAGAAGGCCUUCGGGUUGUAAAGCUCUUUCGGCCGGGAAGAAAUCGCUCAAGCUAAUACCUUGGGUGGAUGACGGUACCGGAAGAAGAAGCACCGGCUAACUACGUGCCAGCAGCCGCGGUACUACGUAGGGUGCGAGUGUUAAUCGGAAUUGCUGGGCGGGAAGCGUGCGCAGGCUGCGAAAUCCCCGGGCUGAACCGGGGAACUGAGUUUGUGACUGUGGUGCUCGAGUGCGGCAGAGGGAGGUGGAAUUCCACGUGUAGCAGUGAAAUGCGUAGAGAUGUGGAGGAACACCGAUGGCGAAGGCAGCCCCCUGGGUCGACACUGACGCUCAUGCACGAAAGCGUGGGGAGCAAACAGGAUUAGAUACCCCGGUAGUC
Molecule: ribosomal RNA, 449 nt
Filed under: uncultured bacterium
Lineage: Bacteria
Description: partial 16S ribosomal RNA
Rfam family: Bacterial small subunit ribosomal RNA
Source: RNAcentral